This is a long non-coding RNA of Vicia villosa (hairy vetch), 1546 nucleotides long. RefSeq lists it as uncharacterized. The record is from RefSeq and is a predicted model, not a curated record. Lineage: Eukaryota; Viridiplantae; Streptophyta; Magnoliopsida; Fabales; Fabaceae. The transcript is spliced from 10 exons.
UAUUAGCGCACAAAAUUUUGGGCAAAAACAACAAAAAUCCCUUCGACCUCUUCUUUCUCAGAUUCACUCAAUUGACUCAUAUUCCUCUUCUUCCUCCAAGUCACUCAGUCAGUGUUCUUCUUCCUCCGAUAUUCCUCGCCGGUUCAGAUUCACGUAUUAUUUCCACUCGAUUAGAAAGAACGAAGAAAACCUAAUCUCCGUCAAACUCAACCUUCCUCAGCUCACUACCGUUACCUUUCUCUUCUCUGGUAUCUUGUGGACUAAGAAGAAGACCUCAGUGUCCAGUUACUGGAAAAAAUAUCCAAGGGGUUAAUUAUGGUUUCUACUAAUGAUGAAAGUGGUUCGUCUAGUACGAAAACAGUUGGUAAACGUGGUGUGACCUGGUUGCAAAAAAUUCACAAAUCCAAAAGCAACGGAAAGAGGAUUGAGGUUCAAUGGAAUGCAAGAGGUCAACCAAUCAAGCAUAAUAGCAAGAGUUUUGCUAGUUAUAUUGGUGUCACAGUUCGUCGCUUAGUUCCAAUUAGUUUGGACAAUUGGAGUGCGAAAAAAAAUAAAGAGGCUAUAGGGGUUUAUAAACAAAACAUUUGGAUGAAAUCGAAAAAGCUUUUGUAAUUGGCGAAGAACAUCGUGCAUUUAUAUAUAAAGAAGCUGGAAAGUUGCACAGGGCAUUCAGGACAAAAAUGACAAAGUUCUAUCUAAGAGAUAGUAAGGGUGGUUUUGUUAAACAUCGAUCGGCAAAAUAUUCUUACUGUAUAAAACAAGAGGACUGGGAUAAAUUUGUAGCUCAGCGUAUGACUACAAAGUUUCAGAAAGUUAGUAGUGAAAAUCGAGAAAGAGCGUUAAAUCCUCAACAUCCUUAUAGAAAGUCACAUUUAGGGUGUGCUCGUCUUGAAGCUGAUAUGGUAGAAGAGUCAGGAGUUGAUGAGAUAAAUCGCAGUCAAGUGUGGAAGUUUAUUUCAUUUUGUUAGUGUGUUGCAAAUUUAUCGUGCUAAUAGUAAUUCUAAAGUGGCUAAAGUCUCCAAGUCAAAGAAAAUUUCAUGGUCAAAAAUUCGGUGUCCCCGUCAAAUUAAUAGCAUUGACUGUGGAUAUUUUGUAAUGCGAUUUAUGAAAGAGGUCAUCGUGGAAAAUGAAAUUAUGAUCCCCGUAAAUUACUUUCCUGACCACAAAUGUCGUACCUACUCUAUGGAUAAGUUAACCGAGAUCAAGGAGGAUUGGGCUACCUAUAUGGUGGAUGAUAUUUUUGAAAAACAAGAAGCAAAUAUUUUGCCUAGCUAGCUAGCAAAGUGAUUAUAUAUCUGGGUUUGGCAGUGCUUUGGUUCGCGAAGUGGUUACUUGAUGUCGUUUUGUAGUCCUUUCUUGUUUUGUUAGAUGUUUUCUUUAGUUUAGAUAAUAUGCCUAACGAAGUGAUUUUACUUUUGUUUGGAAUUUGGUUUGAUGUACUCUUAGUUGGACCAAAUUAAUUACUUAUGGCAAAAGUUCUAUCUUAAUUUCAUUGAGAUCAAUGUUGAAUAUGGUAAUUUGUUAAUUUGUUUAUUAUCAUUCACUA